Gossypium arboreum is the source of this 423-nucleotide long non-coding RNA. RefSeq lists it as uncharacterized. The transcript is spliced from 2 exons. The record is from RefSeq and is a predicted model, not a curated record. Lineage: Eukaryota; Viridiplantae; Streptophyta; Magnoliopsida; Malvales; Malvaceae.
CUCACUGAGAAUAAUUUUCUGUUGUGGAAACAUCAAAUUGUGCUCAUCUCGAACGGUAUGGGCUGCAGCAAUAUGUGUUAGAAUCCUCUUGUCAUAUUUCUCAAUUUGUGAUUGAUGCAGAUGGGAAAUCUGGUUGACAAUCUAGAUUUUUAGCUACAUAACAGCAAGCCUCUGCAACUAAUGUCUCUCUUGAGUUACUGAGAUGUCGAGUGAUUGUGAGUCCAGACAAAAUGAAUUUGUUAGUAAUCUUCCUAUGAAAGCUAAUGUAGCUCGCGGCAAAAGAGGGAUGAAUCAGAUCAGUCAAAAGAGUUCAGACAAAUGAAUUUGCAAAGCCAUACGUUUUUAAUCCAAAUUAAUCCGACCAGCUUGUAAUGUACUUAUAUACCUUUGAAUAAGAUGAACAUAUUUUUGUCUCGUUUAAUA